GAUGAAGAACGCAGCGAAAUGCGAUAAGUAAUGUGAAUUGCAGAAUUCAGUGAAUCAUCGAAUCUUUGAACGCAUCUUGCGCUCCUUGGUAUUCCUUGGAGCAUGCCUGUUUGAGUAUCAUGAGCAAAUCUCAAAGUCAAUUCCUUUUGUUAAUUCAAUUGGUUUUGCUUUGAACUUGGAGGUCUUGCAGAUUUUCACAGUCUGCUCCUCUUAAAUGCAUUAGCUGGAUCUCAGUAAUUAUGCUUGGUUCCACUCGGCGUGAUAAGUAUCACUCGCUGAGGACACUGUUAAAAAGGUGGCCAGGAAAAUACUGAUUGAACCGCUUCUAACGGUCUAUUAAGUUAGACAAUUACCCUUAAGUUUGAUCUCAAAUCAGGUAGGACUACCCGCUGAACUUAAGCAUAUCAAUAAGCGGAGGA
Molecule: unclassified non-coding RNA, 419 nt
Filed under: soil metagenome
Description: partial contains 5.8S ribosomal RNA, internal transcribed spacer 2, and large subunit ribosomal RNA
Rfam family: 5.8S ribosomal RNA (bases 1-120)
Source: RNAcentral